Equus asinus (donkey) is the source of this 1569-nucleotide long non-coding RNA. The record is from Ensembl. NCBI's taxonomy places the organism in Eukaryota, Metazoa, Chordata, Mammalia, Perissodactyla, Equidae.
UGGAGAACCUGCAUUUCUAACAAGUUCCCAGGCGAUGCUGAUGUUUCUCGUCCAGCGACCACACUUUGAAAACUUCUGCUUAGCAGAUACUGCCAAACUGUUUUCCAAAGUAUUUGUACCAAUUUACCAUCCCACCAAGAUGAGAGUGCCAGUUGCUCUGCUUGGUAUUAUCCUCCUUUUAAAUUCCGGUCAUAUGGAUGGAGAUGGAAGGUGAAAAGUCAAUAUGUGGGGCAUGGAACCUUCUAGAAGAGCAACUGAUGUUGUCUCUCCACUUCUCCAAGAUAAUGGUGGAGAUGUGGAGUCCUAUAACGAAAAGUGGGAAAACAGGAAGAGGGAGAGUGAGCAAGAAUACAGAUAUCCAAUCCAGUUUGGGGCAAAUAAAUUCCCGGUGUCUGGAAGAUCCAGGUGGACGUGGUCAGUUGGAAGCUGAGAAUACCACUUGCAAGAGAAGCCAGAAGAAAGGGAUAGAAAAUAACUAUAAAAAGCACCACAAAUAUUUGCAUGCUAAUUGUGGCUUCUAAAGGCUUUGAGGGGGUUUGAAAACAGCUUGCUUUUCACAUAGUUUCAGCAUUAUUCUUGCCAUUUUAUUUUUAAAAUACAGUUUGCAGUAUCUAUGAAGAAAAUGCUUGCUUAGCAGUCUAACUCAUAUUAAUCACAAAUUCCAAAUUCAUGGCAUCAGAAUUACAAGAAGUUCCAUAUUGUAUAAUUAGAAGAAGAUUCCAGUCUUUGGUUCAUUGACUCUGGAGCCAUAUUACAGUCUUGUUAUAUUUGAUAAUGACAUAGCAGACAUUCUAUCAGAACUUGGCUAUCUGGAGAGAGAUUCCAAAAUGCUUUAAUCUUGUCACAAAUCAGAAGCAGCUGCUCCUUAUAAAAAUGAAAGCUCAAGGCUGUGUGGUCCACAGAAAAGCAAAUCUGACUUACACUCUUAAAUGGCAGAUUCCAGGGUUUCAAUUGGCAAGUGUUCUCCAUCCAACAACCCCCUCUCCGUGUUGAUUCAGGUUGGUUUUAUUUCUUUAGACCACUCUCCAACUGAAAAUUGCAUUUGUGUAAUGAACUUUAUCAUAAGCACUUAGGCUUUCUAUAGCUAAGGCUAAGCAUUAUCUUGAGACUUUUACACUCUGAAAAAAACGGAUACAUGGAAAAUGUAAUUUAAAUACAACUUACCCCCUCUGAGUGGUGGAAUAACUAAAGAGAGAAAUGUUAUUAUCAUCAGUCAGUCAAGGGCUGCAAGGCUCAAUCGCUGAGCCUACAAACCUUCCAUAGGUUCUGUGAUGACAUGAAACUGCUGUCCUAGAAACUCUAAAACUAACAAGAGUAUUAGCUUCAUUGAUUUUCUGAAAAUGGGAAAGGAAAAAAACAGUGCUCAGCUAAGUCCAGGAAAGAGAUUUAAUACAACUGUCUUUUAAUAAUAUUAAGUUUCCUAGAAUCAAUAUUUUCUCCCCCUUGUAUUAUACCAUAGGUUGCUACACACCAGUUGCUAUGUAGUUGAAUGGGAUCAAUAGAAGCCUUCCCUUCUUUGAAGACCAUUUCAAAGACCUGCAUAAUGGAGCAUAGAUUAGGACGAGUGAA